CACGUAGUUAGCCGGGGCUUCUUACUCAGGUACCGUCAUUUUCUUCCCUGCUGAUAGAGCUUUACAUCACGAAUGACUUCUUCACUCACGCGGCGUUGCUGCAUCAGGGUUUCCCCCACUUGUGCAAUAUUCCCCACUGCUGCCUCCCGUAGGAGUUUGGGCCGUGUCUCAGUCCCAAUGUGGCCGUUCACCCUCUCAGGCCGGCUACUGAUCGUCGCCUUGGUGGGCUUCUACCCCGCCAACCAGCUAAUCAGACGCGGAUCCAUCUUACACCACCGGAGUUUUCACACUAAGCCAUGCGGCUCCGUGCGCUUAUGCGGUAUUAGCACCUUAUUUCUAAGUUGUUACUCCCCCAGUGUAAGGCUAGGUUACUCCACGCGUUACUCCACCCGUCCGCCACGUAAGUUACGAACUCACUAGGUUUCAUCGUAACUCCGUUCGACUUGCAUGUGUUAGCACGCGCCAGCGUUCAUCCUGACGCCGAGGACUACGAAACUCU
RNAcentral lists this ribosomal RNA (499 nucleotides) under uncultured Lachnospiraceae bacterium. RNAcentral describes it as "partial 16S ribosomal RNA". The record is from RNAcentral. Lineage: Bacteria; Bacillati; Bacillota; Clostridia; Lachnospirales; Lachnospiraceae.